AGGGGUAUAGCUCAGUGGUAGAGCACAUGCUUAGCAUGCACAAGGUCCUGGGUUCAAUCCCCAGGACCUUCA
This 72-nucleotide transfer RNA is filed under the name Camelus bactrianus (Bactrian camel). It matches the Rfam family "tRNA". Rfam says of the family: Transfer RNA (tRNA) molecules are approximately 80 nucleotides in length. Their secondary structure includes four short double-helical elements and three loops (D, anti-codon, and T loops). The record is from Rfam by way of RNAcentral. Lineage: Eukaryota; Metazoa; Chordata; Mammalia; Artiodactyla; Camelidae. RNAcentral also lists the same sequence under 2 other names.